GAGACCGGCGCACGGGUGCGUAACGCGUAUGCAAUCUACCUUUUACAGGGGAAUAGCCCAGAGAAAUUUGGAUUAAUGCCCCAUAGUAUAAUUGAAUGGCAUCAUUUAAUUAUUAAAGUCACAACGGUAAAAGAUGAGCAUGCGUCCCAUUAGUUAGUUGGUAAGGUAACGGCUUACCAAGACAAUGAUGGGUAGGGGUCCUGAGAGGGAGAUCCCCCACACUGGUACUGAGACACGGACCAGACUCCUACGGGAGGCAGCAGUGAGGAAUAUUGGACAAUGGGCGCAAGCCUGAUCCAGCCAUGCCGCGUGCAGGAAGACGGUCCUAUGGAUUGUAAACUGCUUUUAUACAGGAAGAAACACUCCGACGUGUCGGAGCUUGACGGUACUGUAGGAAUAAGGAUCGGCUAACUCCGUGCCAGCAGCCGCGGUAAUACGGAGGAUCCAAGCGUUAUCCGGAAUCAUUGGGUUUAAAGGGUCCGUAGGCGGUUUAAUAAGUCAGUGGUGAAAUCUGGUCGCUCAACGAUCAAACGGCCAUUGAUACUGUUAGACUUGAAUUAUAAGGAAGUAACUAGAAUAUGUAGUGUAGCGGUGAAAUGCUUAGAUAUUACAUGGAAUACCAAUUGCGAAGGCAGGUUACUACUUGUGGAUUGACGCUGAUGGACGAAAGCGUGGGGAGCGAACAGGAUUAGAUACCCUGGUAGUCCACGCCGUAAACGAUGGAUACUAGCUGUUGGAAGCAAUUUCAGUGGCUAAGCGAAAGUGAUAAGUAUCCCACCUGGGGAGUACGUUCGCAAGAAUGAAACUCA
Molecule: ribosomal RNA, 809 nt
Filed under: uncultured Bacteroidota bacterium
Lineage: Bacteria; Pseudomonadati; Bacteroidota
Description: bacterial SSU rRNA
Rfam family: Bacterial small subunit ribosomal RNA
Source: RNAcentral